This 495-nucleotide ribosomal RNA is filed under the name uncultured bacterium. RNAcentral's name for it is "partial 16S ribosomal RNA". It matches the Rfam family "Bacterial small subunit ribosomal RNA", at positions 28 to 507 of the family's 1533-position model. The record is from RNAcentral.
GACGAACGCUGGCGGCGUGCCUAAUACAUGCAAGUAGAACGCUGAAGGAGGAGCUUGCUUCUCUGGAUGAGUUGCGAACGUGUGAGUAACGCGUAGGUAACCUGCCUGGUAGCGGGGGAUAACUAUUGGAAACGAUAGCUAAUACCGCAUAAUAGUAGAUGUUGCAUGACAUUUGCUUAAAAGGUGCAAUUGCAUCACUACCAGAUGGACCUGCGUUGUAUUAGCUAGUUGGUGAGGUAACGGCUCACCAAGGCGACGAUACAUAGCCGACCUGAGAGGGUGAUCGGCCACACUGUGACUGAGACACGGCCCAGACACCUACGGGAGGCAGCAGUAGGGAAUCUUCGGCAAUGGACGGAAGUCUGACCGAGCAACGCCGCGUGAGUGAAGAAGAUUUUCGGAUCGUAAAGCUCUGUUGUAAGAGAAGAACGAGUGUGAGAGUGGAAAGUUCACACUGUGACGGUAUCUUACCAGAAAGGGACGGCUAACUACGUG